This 435-nucleotide ribosomal RNA is filed under the name uncultured bacterium. RNAcentral's name for it is "partial 16S ribosomal RNA". It matches the Rfam family "Bacterial small subunit ribosomal RNA", at positions 29 to 507 of the family's 1533-position model. The record is from RNAcentral.
AGCGAACGCUGGCGGCAGGCUUAACACAUGCAAGUCGAGCGGGCACUUUCGGGUGUCAGCGGCGGACGGGUGAGUAACGCGUGGGAACGUGCCCUCUGGUUCGGAAUAACUCAGGGAAACUUGAGCUAAUACCGGAUACGCCCUUUUGGGGAAAGGCUUGCUGCCGGAGGAUCGGCCCGCGUCUGAUUAGCUAGUUGGUGAGGUAACGGCACACCAAGGCGACGAUCAGUAGCUGGUCUGAGAGGAUGAUCAGCCACACUGGGACUGAGACACGGCCCAGACUCCUACGGGAGGCAGCAGUGGGGAAUAUUGGACAAUGGGCGCAAGCCUGAUCCAGCCAUGCCGCGUGAGUGAUGAAGGCCUUAGGGUUGUAAAGCUCUUUUAUCCGGGACGAUAAUGACGGUACCGGAGGAAUAAGCCCCGGCUAACUUCGUG